This 21-nucleotide non-coding RNA is filed under the name Caenorhabditis elegans. Lineage: Eukaryota; Metazoa; Nematoda; Chromadorea; Rhabditida; Rhabditidae. The record is from RNAcentral.
UGAGCAAUGUUUUCCUAACUA